UACGUAGGUGGCAAGCGUUGUCCGGAAUUAUUGGGCGUAAAGCGCGCGCAGGCGGUCCUUUAAGUCUGAUGUGAAAGCCCACGGCUCAACCGUGGAGGGUCAUUGGAAACUGGGGGACUUGAGUGCAGGAGAGAAGAGUGGAAUUCCAUGUGUAGCGGUGAAAUGCGUAGAGAUCAUGAGGAAGACCAGUGGCGAAGGCGGGUCUCUAGACAGUUCCUGACGCUGAGGCACGAAGGCCAGGGGAGCAAACGGG
RNAcentral lists this ribosomal RNA (253 nucleotides) under uncultured bacterium. RNAcentral's name for it is "partial 16S ribosomal RNA". It matches the Rfam family "Bacterial small subunit ribosomal RNA", at positions 524 to 776 of the family's 1533-position model. The record is from RNAcentral.